CUUCUCUAGGGCAAGCUGCCAGCACGGAUCACGGUGCCCCUGUCGGUGAUCAGCCAGCCCGUGAAAGGCAAGAGCGUGGUGACUGCCCCCAUCAUCAAGGGCAACCUUGGGGCCAACAUCAGUGGGUUGGGCAGAAAUAUCAUCCUGACCACGAUGCCAGCAGGGACAAAACUCAUCGCUGGGAACAAGCCAGUGAGUUUUCUGACUGCACAGCAACUGCAGCAGCUGCAGCAGCAAGGCCAGGCCACGCAGGUUCGAAUUCAAACUGUCCCAGCCUCCCACCUCCAGCAGGGCACGGUGUCUGGCUCCACUAAAGCGGUUUCCACUGUGGUUGUGACGACAGCUCCGUCUCCAAAGCAGACCCAAGAUCAGCUGUAAACACUGGUUUGGACACAGAUGGCUUUCCAAGAACUUCCCUCAGCCCGUGGUCGUCCUCCAUCCAAGCCCCCAAGACUCCCUAACCCCAGUCCUGGCCUGGGAUUGGACUGGAUUCUGUCCCGUUGCUUGUCUGGAGUCAGCAUUGUGAUGUCUAGGUAGAAAUUCCUACAAAACAGAAUGUUUCAGUCCAGAUGUGUAAAAGCCCAGUUCUGUGGCGUUGAGGGUUGUGAGAAAUGUCUUCCUUUUCUUUCUUCUCUUCCCAUCCAGAGGGCUUUUGGCGAAUAUAAUUUCUGUGCAUUUUGGGUUGUAGGCAAAGCAGUUGAUCUUGGGUCUUCCUUAAGCAGGGAAACUUGCUUGGAAGAGGUGAUUCUCAAAGUCCUGAAGAAGAUGCCUCCUUUUGCUGGAGUCGAGCAGUCCCUUUCCAUACUUUUCUAUGUAUGAUUUAGGACGGUGGCUUGGACACCAGAGUUUGUUUGUAACAUAGCCUGGAAGUAGAUCCCCGACACGUUCAGUGUCCUAUUUAUAGACUUUUUAAAUACCUCUCCCCCAUCUCUGAGCUCUUUGGGACAAACACCGCUCCCGUGUCAAAUUUCUGGCAAAGGCAGGAUGAGAGAAAAGACGGUUUUUGCUAAAAAAUAUCUGGUGACCGUGGGGAAGAGUGAGAAGAAGAGAUGCAGAAGGUCUCUGUGUGUCAACAUACUGGACAGGAAAAAGCAACUGUUCACCAAGAGGAUCCUCCUGUAGUUUUCCUCAACAAAUAAACCUUUUUAUCGGUCAAAAAAAAGACUAGCUUCUUUUAAAAGUUUGGAAUAUGUUUUCAAAUAACUCCCCCGCUGUAUAAUCUCUUGGACUCGGAAGGAGGAUUUUAACCUGUGAUCCUGGCCUUGAGUUUUGUUUUCACCUUUGCAGUUUUAUCUCUCUCUAUGUAAACUUGUUUGAAUUUUGCACAUACCAGAGAUGAAUUCCUGGCUGUUGUGACACGGCCUCGGAGCUUUCUCGGAAUGAGAUGAGAAGAGGUGGUGGAUCAGGAGAAAAAUAAAAGGGCAGAAAACCUUAAACCUCUCUCUUCCAUCUCCUUUUGGUUUUGUACAGCCUGUUUUGUGUUGUCCAGCUUGCCAAGGGCUAAUAGAUGGUCCAUCUUCUUUGCAAGAUGGGUCUUUUUAACCUGG
Molecule: long non-coding RNA, 1547 nt
Organism: Calidris pugnax (ruff)
Lineage: Eukaryota; Metazoa; Chordata; Aves; Charadriiformes; Scolopacidae
Exons: 3
Source: RefSeq, a predicted model, not a curated record